Molecule: ribosomal RNA, 437 nt
Filed under: uncultured bacterium
Lineage: Bacteria
Description: partial 16S ribosomal RNA
Rfam family: Bacterial small subunit ribosomal RNA
Source: RNAcentral
AGCGAACGCUGGCGGCAUGCUUAACACAUGCAAGUCGCGCGGGUGGUUUCGGCCAUCAGCGGCGGCCGGGUGAGUAUCGCGUAGGAAUGUAUCCCGAGGUGGGGGACAACCCUGGGAAACUGGGGCUAAUACCGCAUGGUGCCUGUGGGUCAAAGCCGUAGCGCGCCUUGGGGGCAGCCUGCGUCCGAUUAGGUAGUUGGUGGGGUACAGGCCUACUAAGCCUGCGAUCGGUAGCUGGUCGGCGAGGACGAUCAGCCACACUGGAACUGAGACACGGCCCAGACUCCUACGGGAGGCAGCGGAAGGGAAUAUAAGAGGAGGGACGCAGGCGUGGUACAGCAGUGCGGGGUGGGUCAAGAAGGUGUUCGGAAUGUAAAGCCGUUUCGGCGGGGACGAUGGUGACGGUACCCGCAGAAGAAGCACCGGCUAACUUCGUG